This 465-nucleotide ribosomal RNA is filed under the name Vreelandella stevensii. RNAcentral's name for it is "partial 16S ribosomal RNA". It matches the Rfam family "Bacterial small subunit ribosomal RNA", at positions 338 to 795 of the family's 1533-position model. Lineage: Bacteria; Pseudomonadati; Pseudomonadota; Gammaproteobacteria; Oceanospirillales; Halomonadaceae. The record is from RNAcentral.
CCUACGGGAGGCUGCAGUGGGGAAUAUUGGACAAUGGGGGCAACCCUGAUCCAGCCAUGCCGCGUGUGUGAAGAAGGCUCUCGGGUUGUAAAGCACUUUCAGUGAGGAAGAACGCCUGGUGGUUAAUACCCAUCAGGAAAGACAUCACUCACAGAAGAAGCACCGGCUAACUCCGUGCCAGCAGCCGCGGUAAUACGGAGGGUGCGAGCGUUAAUCGGAAUUACUGGGCGUAAAGCGCGCGUAGGUGGCUUGAUAAGCCGGUUGUGAAAGCCCCGGGCUCAACCUGGGAACGGCAUCCGGAACUGUCAAGCUAGAGUGCAGGAGAGGAAGGUAGAAUUCCCGGUGUAGCGGUGAAAUGCGUAGAGAUCGGGAGGAAUACCAGUGGCGAAGGCGGCCUUCUGGACUGACACUGACACUGAGGUGCGAAAGCGUGGGUAGCAAACAGGAUUAGAUACCCUGGUAGUC